GGGCGCAUAGCUCAGCGGUAGAGCACUACCUUGACAUGGUAGGGGUCACAGGUUCAAUCCCUGUUGUGCCCACCA
RNAcentral lists this transfer RNA (75 nucleotides) under Acetobacter oeni. RNAcentral's name for it is "tRNA-Val". It matches the Rfam family "tRNA". Rfam says of the family: Transfer RNA (tRNA) molecules are approximately 80 nucleotides in length. Their secondary structure includes four short double-helical elements and three loops (D, anti-codon, and T loops). RNAcentral also lists the same sequence under 1 other name. The record is from RNAcentral. Lineage: Bacteria; Pseudomonadati; Pseudomonadota; Alphaproteobacteria; Acetobacterales; Acetobacteraceae.